RNAcentral lists this ribosomal RNA (322 nucleotides) under Rhogostoma sp. RNAcentral's name for it is "SSU rRNA". The stretch from base 56 to 322 matches the Rfam family "Eukaryotic small subunit ribosomal RNA", at positions 686 to 955 of the family's 1831-position model. Lineage: Eukaryota; Cercozoa; Thecofilosea; Cryomonadida; Rhogostomidae. The record is from RNAcentral.
GAUUUCUGGUACAAUGCACCUGGCCCGCAGCCCUCAAGGCUUGUGAGUGCCGGCGCGCGUUUACCAUCCUUCUAGAAAACGAUUCUGCCAUUCACUUGGUUGGGGUCGCGAUCUAGAUCUUUUACUUUGAAAAAAUUAGAGUGUUUAAAGCAGGCAAAUGUUUGAAUAUAUUAGCAUGGAAUAAUAAUCUAGGACUUCGGUUCUAUUUUGUUGGUUUCUAUAACUGAAGUAAUGAUUGAUAGGGACAGUUGGGGGUGCUAGUAUUGGCCGGCCAGAGGUGAAAUUCUUGGAUUCGGUCAAGACUAACUUAUGCGAAAGCAUU